This 482-nucleotide ribosomal RNA is filed under the name uncultured bacterium. RNAcentral's name for it is "partial 16S ribosomal RNA". It matches the Rfam family "Bacterial small subunit ribosomal RNA", at positions 30 to 507 of the family's 1533-position model. The record is from RNAcentral.
AUUGAACGCUGGCGGCAUGCCUUACACAUGCAAGUCGAACGGUAACGGGCCUUCGGGUGCCGACGAGUGGCGAACGGGUGAGUAAUACAUCGGAACGUGCCCGAUCGUGGGGGAUAACGAGGCGAAAGCUUUGCUAAUACCGCAUACGAUCUACGGAUGAAAGCCGGGGACCGCAAGGCCUUGCGCGGACGGAGCGGCCGAUGGCAGAUUAGGUAGUUGGUGGGAUAAAAGCUUACCAAGCCGGCGAUCUGUAGCUGGUCUGAGAGGAUGAUCAGCCACACUGGGACUGAGACACGGCCCAGACUCCUACGGGAGGCAGCAGUGGGGAAUUUUGGACAAUGGGCGCAAGCCUGAUCCAGCCAUGCCGCGUGCAGGAUGAAGGCCUUCGGGUUGUAAACUGCUUUUGUACGGAACGAAAAGCCUUCUUUUAAUACAGGAGGGUCAUGACGGUACCGUAAGAAUAAGCACCGGCUAACUACGUG